GGCCGCGGGAAUUCGAUUAAAGUUUGAUCAUGGCUCAGGAUGAACGCUGGCGGCGUGCUUAACACAUGCAAGUCGAACGAACCUUCGGGUUAGUGGCGGACGGGUGAGUAACGCGUGGGAAUCUGCCCUCAGGAGGGGGAUAACGGCUGGAAACGGCCGCUAAUACCCCAUAUGCCGAGAGGUGAAACGAAUUUCGCCUGAGGAUGAGCCCGCGUCUGAUUAGCUAGUUGGUGGGGUAAGGGCCUACCAAGGCAACGAUCAGUAGCUGGUCUGAGAGGAUGAUCAGCCACACUGGGACUGAGACACGGCCCAGACUCCUACGGGAGGCAGCAGUGGGGAAUUUUCCGCAAUGGGCGAAAGCCUGACGGAGCAACGCCGCGUGAGGGAUGAAGGCCUCUGGGCUGUAAACCUCUUUUCUCAAGGAAGAAGAUCUGACGGUACUUGAGGAAUAAGCCACGGCUAAUUCCGUGCCAGCAGCCGCGGUAAUACGGGAGUGGCAAGCGUUAUCCGGAAUUAUUGGGCGUAAAGCGUCCGCAG
Molecule: ribosomal RNA, 537 nt
Filed under: uncultured Synechococcus sp.
Lineage: Bacteria; Bacillati; Cyanobacteriota; Cyanophyceae; Synechococcales; Synechococcaceae
Description: partial 16S ribosomal RNA
Rfam family: Bacterial small subunit ribosomal RNA
Source: RNAcentral